Long non-coding RNA from Oreochromis niloticus (Nile tilapia), 2473 nucleotides. RefSeq lists it as uncharacterized. NCBI's taxonomy places the organism in Eukaryota, Metazoa, Chordata, Actinopteri, Cichliformes, Cichlidae. The transcript is spliced from 2 exons. The record is from RefSeq and is a predicted model, not a curated record.
ACAUGAUUACAUCAUCAUAAAGUGAGAGAAAACAGGAACAGAAUAUUUCUGACUGCCUGAUUGAUUUUUGAGUCAGAGAUUAAUGUGACGGCAUCUGCCGAGACACUGGUUUCUCUCAUCUCCUUUGCUUUUUCCAUCAGGCAUUUUUGUUGAUGAAAAACCCAUAGAUAAUUGGGGAUCCUUCUGGGGAAAACCUGGUCUUAUUAGGAGAGAUGGCAUCCACCCCACUUUAGAUGGAACAGCUCUCAUUUCUAGAAAUCUGGCCAAAUUUAUUAAACCUCCCAAAACGGGACUAUCCAGAGUUGGGACGAGGAAGCAGACUCUCUGCAGCUUCUCUCCUGUCAUCCCCAUAGAAAUCGUGUUUGCUCCUGUAUCAUCAAAAGACAAGCCAAAAAAAACUAUAUACAAAUUAACAAAGAAAGAUUGAUAUAACACCCUCAACUUCACCUGAGAGUAAAUCAAUUAAAUGUGGACCAUCUAUUGAUAUUCCUUCUCCUCAAAUACAAAAUCUUGAAUACUGAGGCAAUAUCUUAAAGACCUCACAGUAUCUUAUGAACACUUCACUCUCAGACUGCAGGCUUAAUGGUGGAGUUUUCUCAGUCCCUGGCUGUACUUGUAUUAGUCCUUUCUGUGACAAAGUGGAUGAGCAGUUGCAAUGCUCUCCAUUUGUGCCAUAUGCGUUGACCUUUUUUUUUGCACAUUAUACACAUUAUUCUGUUUCUGUUUAUUUGCUAUGAUUUGCUAUUUGUCAAGUAACAUUGCUGCACUCACUAUCCUGGGUUUGCUUGUGUAAGCGUUCCGUUGCUGGCAAAUCAAACAUUCUGCAAAUUAAGGCAAAUACUCAGUUACAUGUUUCUUUAUAUUUUAUUAUGUUACAGAUUAAGUCAUUUAUUCAUACUUACUUUGUUCUGUCUUUUCAGUCUUCAUGAGGGUCAGGUGUAGGGAAAUGCCCGCCUAGCAUUUCCUCAUUUUAAAGUCCUGAUGAUGUCACACAUGACAUCGGCAGGUCAAACCAAGUGGAGGGGUUUCUUUAGAUGCUUCCUUUUGUUUGUGUUAAGGUUUAAAGGGAUUUGUUGAAUGUUUUUCUUUUCAUUAAUAACGCCAUUUAGUUGUGUAAAUGUGCAUAUUAGAAGUGUGAAAAGGUUUUGUGUCUUUUAGAUCAUCUGUGUAGAGUUUUAGAUCCCUCAGUUUGAGUGAGUGGUACUGGCUGGGCUAAUUGGAGGGAAAUUGAUGGCCCUAUUUAAAGCCAGUCUCUACCAGAUUCAAGAGAGAGGAGAGGUGAACUGUGUUACCAGAUCCAUGGUCUGUUGAGGUUUGUUAAUUGAGUUGAUUUGGGGAGAAGUUUUGUUAAGUUACACAUUAAAAUAAGUUCACUAUAAAUAAAUUGCUCACCUCUGGAAACCUGAAAUGUCUGCGUAGUCUGCUUCCCUAUCACCUUCCUUGACGUUCGAGUCUGACUACUUCACAUUUUCCACAAUGUUUCUUCUUCCAUCCCCUCUUGUCAGGUCUCUUUAUAUUAAAUCGUGUCCCUGUUUAGUUAUUGUACUUCACUUCCUGCUUUAUUUUGUCAGGUAUUUGUGCCUUGUGCUUUGCUUUUAGUUUUACUUCCCCUUUCUUGUCUUCUGAUUUAAUUCAGCUGUGUUGUGUCCCAGGUGUCUCCACUUUGCGCUAAUCACCUUUCUGUGUAUGAAUAGUUGCCGUCUCUAUUUUUAAUGGACCUAUGGACAUUUAUUUAUUUAUUUUUAAAAUCAAGUUCUGCUUCAUAAGUCCUUUUUCAUACAAAUCUCUGAUAGAAGGCUCUGACAACAACAUAAACCAAGCAGACUCUGGGCUUGUUUUGGAAGAGUAGCUGAGGUGUUUCAAGUUAACUCUCAUUUUUCUGUAUGGGGAGUUGUUCAAGCUUAUCCCAGCAGCUGCCCCAUCUCAACCUGAAGCUCCAGCGAUGAUGCAGCCCAGCACUCAAGCCACAUCACCAGGAGUCAGCAAGAGAAGGCAAGGCUCACAGCGGUGGAUUCAGGAAUGUGAGCCCGGAGUCACAAUUACCUCAGCAGUGUCUUCUUGCAGUGCUGCCCAGCUUUCCAGCCGCUUCCCUGGCUAGGCUGUGGGCAGAGGACUAUAAGCUUGUAGCUGUUGCUCUGGCUGGUCUCUCAUCCAAAAGGAAGCAGAACUCCCGCCUUUGUCUCUUUUUCCCAGCCAGAGCCAGCUUAUUUGCCCAUGUUUGCUAAUUCCUGUGGCUCUGAAAAUAUCUCCAGUGCUGGUAAAUUGCAAUAGUGCUUCCCAUCUUUGAGUUGACCAGCAAUAAAAUGGCACGAUUAAGACUGAAUUUUCUUUUUCUGAGCCUGAUAGUAUAGAAAAUGAGUUUUUUAAUGCUGAGCAUCAUGAGUUAGAGCUAGAGCUCCUAGAGCUCCAGCCAUCAGAGGAGAUUGCUCUGCUGAGCAGCCCGAGCUUUUAGAGCUACCUGAAUAUUCUGCAC